Molecule: transfer RNA, 91 nt
Filed under: Neglectibacter timonensis
Lineage: Bacteria; Bacillati; Bacillota; Clostridia; Eubacteriales; Oscillospiraceae
Also listed under: 24 other names
Description: tRNA-Ser
Rfam family: tRNA
About the family: Transfer RNA (tRNA) molecules are approximately 80 nucleotides in length. Their secondary structure includes four short double-helical elements and three loops (D, anti-codon, and T loops). Further hydrogen bonds mediate the characteristic L-shaped molecular structure. tRNAs have two regions of fundamental functional importance: the anti-codon, which is responsible for specific mRNA codon recognition, and the 3' end, to which the tRNAs corresponding amino acid is attached (by aminoacyl-tRNA synthetases). tRNAs cope with the degeneracy of the genetic code in two manners: having more than one tRNA (with a specific anti-codon) for a particular amino acid; and 'wobble' base-pairing, i.e. permitting non-standard base-pairing at the 3rd anti-codon position.
Source: RNAcentral
GGAGUAGUAUCGAAGUGGUCAUAACGAGCACGACUGGAAAUCGUGUAGCCGCUAACACGGCUCGAGGGUUCGAAUCCCUCCUACUCCGCCA